Long non-coding RNA from Helianthus annuus (common sunflower), 327 nucleotides. RefSeq lists it as uncharacterized. NCBI's taxonomy places the organism in Eukaryota, Viridiplantae, Streptophyta, Magnoliopsida, Asterales, Asteraceae. The record is from RefSeq and is a predicted model, not a curated record. The transcript has 3 exons.
AGUCUAAUCAAUCCGAAGGUGUACCACUAAAGAUCCGGGAUAUAAAAGGGAAAGAAUGGACGUUUCAGUUCAGAUUUUGGCCCAACAAUAACAGCCGCAUGUAUGUUCUAGAAGGCGUAACCCCGUGCAUGCAGAACAUGCAGUUGCAAGCUGGCGACACAGUGAUAUUUAGUCGAUUAGAUCCAGAAGAUAAACUUGUAAUAGGGUGUCGAAAGGCAACGGUUCUUGCAGACGCACCUGCGCUUCCUAACCCCGUUAACGGUGGAGCUCUUACAUGUACCGACAAUGGAAACUUACCGACAAAUAUGACACAAGAAGGCACCAGUA